Molecule: long non-coding RNA, 1056 nt
Organism: Panicum virgatum (switchgrass)
Lineage: Eukaryota; Viridiplantae; Streptophyta; Magnoliopsida; Poales; Poaceae
Exons: 2
Source: RefSeq, a predicted model, not a curated record
UCCGCCCACCCAGGGACCCCCCAACCGCACGCAGUGGAGCGCGCGCGCUCUCUCGCGCGCUCUCUCUCGCCCAUAAAGUAACGCAGCGGCAGCCGGCAGGAGGCAGCGACCCCUCCUUCUUUCCGCGCCGCCGCUCUGGCCUCGCCCCUCUCCUCCUCCUCCCUCUCUGUCUGUCUCCGUGUGGUGGCCGUCCCGUGCCAGCUCUCCCAUGAUGGCCGGCCCGUGCCAGCUCAAGUCACCGUCCGUGGAGCUUCGGCUGGCCGGACCUUCCCGGCGACGUGCAGUCGUCGACGACGCGGCUGGCCACCGCCAGAUCUGCAGUCCCGGUGAGCCCCCGUAGCUCCGGUGGCCGGUCAACUCGGAUUCCGGUCGCAAGAUCUCGUCGCCGCCGGCGGAACACGCCGCCGCCCGGCCUCGGUGGAGGAUGAGGAUAGAGUGUCCAGUUAUGUUGGUUUUUGCUUUGAUGGUAUGUGCUGGUCGUCAGGAAUGAUUCACUGUAGCAUGCAGGCAGCAAGCCACACGUGGUCUCAAUUGCAAGUUCAAAUGAAUGUUAAGUUAUCAUAAUAAAAAAUAUGGCCAGAAAAAUAAAUGAUGUUCCCUAUAAACUUUGCAUUGUUUGUCAUUCUAAUUUUUUUCUUCAUAUUUUGGAUUUUUAUAACUCUUAAAGCCUAUGGUCUCUCUCUUACGUGCCUCAUUUGUUAAAUUAGCAUGGUGUAUACCAAAAAAAAAAACUGGUAGAUUUAUAUGCAUUUUCUCUACUUUUUGUAUUUAAUGUUAAUCCUGUUCUAAACCAUCUACUGCAAGUACAUUGCCUCCCUAGUGUAUUCAUGCACAGUGCUCUAUGAAUGCCUUGACAUCAAAUAUCCAAGGCAUCAUCUGGAAGCAUUGUUUAAGACAGUGCUGACAACCAAAGGUGGUGUGAUAAAGGUGUUAAAGUUCCUUUUUUCGAAUGAAUGAGCGAGUUGAGUUGAUAAAUAGAGUACUCGCUUCUUGUAUUAGUUGGGUGCAGAUAACUUAGGGAUUCGAUGAGUGCAAAUGUACAAUAUUGGUUCAUUU